RNAcentral lists this long non-coding RNA (2099 nucleotides) under Gallus gallus (chicken). RNAcentral's name for it is "long non-coding RNA NONGGAT003620". Lineage: Eukaryota; Metazoa; Chordata; Aves; Galliformes; Phasianidae. The record is from RNAcentral.
CCCCUCCCCUCCAAUGGCUCUGCUUCAGGAAAAGCUGGAGCUGAAAUCUCCUUCCAUCACUUUGCAUUCAUUUUUCAGCCCUUUCACAGAGCUGGGAACCUGGUCUGGUCUCGGCUUCUCUCCCCGCAGCGCUUCCCUUCAGGAGCUGCAGAACCCUCGGUGCCAUGUAAAUGAAACGUGAAACCUCGUCUUUUUCUCUUUGCAGAGGGAAGAGGACCAGAGACGCAUGCAAAGUACAGCUGUGUCUCUCAAAACACCUCUUGUCCUUCUUAAUGUAUUCCUUCGCACAUUCCGUGACUUGUUGCCGCGUGAAGGCAGCCAGGAUUUUGCCGUUGGAACUGUUGCCCCUUCCCUUCCAUCUGCUCCGUGCUUAUCUGCAGCACUUACAAUGCAGCAAACCUUGUGAGUGGAGCGCGGAGGAGCCAUAUGGCAUCCAUAGGUAACAAUGCUGCUGACAAUUGAGCUCCUAUGCUAUGUGAGACCACCGGCAAGAAAGCAAUUCGUGACCAACAGCAGGAAAAAAACCACAGUGAAAUAAAUCAAGCAAUCAAUCUUGCAGUGUUUGAGGUGAUUCCCAAGAGCGUGGCCGGGAAGGAUAACUAAAAGCAAUGAGCUUCUUCAUGUGAGUGUGUGGAAGCCAUCCCUGGGGAGAGGCACUUUGAUUUACCUCCCUCAGCUGUGGCUGCUGCAGCAAACUGCCCCCAUUCCAUUCCCAUCACCACGCUUCCCGGGAUCCCUUUGGAUUGCAGUGCACAAAUCACACUGCACCGAACUGGGCUGGAGGGUUCCCAUGUCUGCAGACAACUCCGUGGCUGCCGAUCGGAUGCUAAAUGCUUUAGUAAUGCUUUGAGCCACAAAAGAUCAUUAGCGCUGCGAGGCCAGAAGAGGUUAAUAAGAGAGCAGCUGUUGGGCCGGCUCAAUGGUGGGGUGACAAAAGGAAUAGCAAAGUGUCCCCUGAGCUGGGGGGGUCAGCCCUCCCGGCGUGGCAAAAAGCAGCUGGAGGAAUAAUGGAUGAGCUGAGCCAGGUGCGGGGCUGCUCCGAAGCAAUGCGGUGAGCUGACACUGUGAUGGGGAUGCUGCCACUGCUGCAGAAUGCUGCCCCACGUGCCCAUCCUCACCCCUCUGCUGCCUUCUCUGUAGGAAAAAAUGGGGAAAACUGCUGGAAAACUGGCUGCUUCUCGUCACAUCAGCACGGCAUGAAUACUCGAUAUUUACACGUCUCUCCCUCUGUGCACGCAGCAGAUGUAGGAGGAAAUGCCACAGAACUGCAUUGUGCCCCCAGCCAAGAGCAGGAGAGCUCGUGAGGAUGGAGGGGAAGGGCUGACAUUUCUGAUCAGACAGCCGAGCACCAGACCAGAGGGACACGGCGAGGUCGUGCAGCACCUGCUGCCAGGAGGGAUCAGCUCAGCCAAACCUCUGCUGGCAGCCAUUGGCCCGCCCUGCUCUCAGGAUGCUGCUGCACCACACGCCCUGCUGGGCGUCCCUCCCAGCCCCUCAUCCCCCUGCAGACACUUUCUGCUCAUGUCAAACCCUUGCUACUUUUAACCGUGACUUGUUUGUGAUCGCCUGUGGCCAUGAGGAAUAAUCUACUGCAUUCAUAAAGCAAGCAAAAAAAAAUAUAUUGUUUUGAUUCAAUUUUCAGGUCACCUUUACAAUUCUCUUUGCCAUUUGGAAGCAAGCUGCCUGCUGGCUCUCCAGGAGGCCCUUUUCCAGCAGAGACUGAAGAUCCCCAGGAAACGUGCCGAAAGCAGCAGGGAUGUGGCAGCAAAACCACCUCAGCAGGGAGCUGCCGUGAUGUGAGCACUGCUGUGAGCACAGGGAGAGCAGCAGCUCCCAGCGCCGAGCAUCACAGGCAGGGAAGAGUCACCCAGUCCCAUCCCCUGAGGCUCUCUGAGCACAUUGCUCCUGCUGGGCUCACUGCCCUCCGCAUCCACCUUCAUCCUUCCCCUUCACACCUCCCCUGAGCCUCGCCCAGUUCCUUUCCUCGCUUUGCCCCAUGCUGCCUUCCUCCCUGCAGCUCCUCCUCCUCCUCCUCCCUUCUUGUCAUAGAAUCAUCGGAACAGGACCAUUCAGGUUGGAGAAGCCCUCUGAGACCCCCA